This 427-nucleotide ribosomal RNA is filed under the name uncultured bacterium. RNAcentral's name for it is "bacterial SSU rRNA". It matches the Rfam family "Bacterial small subunit ribosomal RNA", at positions 355 to 774 of the family's 1533-position model. The record is from RNAcentral.
UGGGGAAUAUUGGACAAUGGGGGGAACCCUGAUCCAGCAAUGCCGCGUGUGUGAAGAAGGCCUGAGGGUUGUAAAGCACUUUCAGUGGGGAGGAGGGUUAAUUGGUUAAGAGCUGAUUAACUGGACGUUACCCACAGAAGAAGCACCGGCUAACUCCGUGCCAGCAGCCGCGGUAAUACGGAGGGUGCGAGCGUUAAUCGGAAUUACUGGGCGUAAAGGGUGCGUAGGUUGUUUGAUAAGUUAUCUGUGAAAGCCCUGGGCUCAACCUGGGAAGGCCAGAUAAGACUGUUAGACUCGAGUAUGGGAGAGGGUAGUGGAAUUUCCGGCGUAGCGGUGAAAUGCGUAGAGAUCGGAAGGAACACCAGUGGCGAAGGCGGCUACCUGGCCCAGCACUGACACUGAGUCACGAAAGCGUGGGGAGCAAACA